GGAAGUAAAAAGUCGUAACAAGGUCUCCGUUGGUGAACCAGCGGAGGGAUCAUUACAGAGUUGCAAAACUCCCAAACCAUUGUGAACGUUACCUAUCCCGUUGCUUCGGCGGGCGGCCCGGGCCCCGCGCCCGGCGCCCCCCGGCCCCCCGUGGGCGCCCGCCGGAGGUAAACCAAACCCUUGAAUUGCAUGGCCUCUCUGAGUCUUCUGUACUGAAUAAGUCAAAACUUUCAACAACGGAUCUCUUGGUUCUG
RNAcentral lists this unclassified non-coding RNA (254 nucleotides) under plant metagenome. RNAcentral describes it as "partial contains small subunit ribosomal RNA, internal transcribed spacer 1, and 5.8S ribosomal RNA". The stretch from base 1 to 55 matches the Rfam family "Eukaryotic small subunit ribosomal RNA", at positions 1778 to 1831 of the family's 1831-position model. The record is from RNAcentral.